UCAAAGUCAAACUAGACGGUGUGAGAUGGGUUUCUUUGCUUGUUCCUCAAGCCUAUACCAAGUCCUAUAAGUAUACAAAUUAAUUCAUUCUUUCUUCUCACUUCCAACACAAUUUUGAUUAUCAUUGAUAAAUUUGAAACUAGAAAUGGCAUCUGCAGGAUUUGGACUAGCUGAAACAUACGUGAUGCAAAAGAUGUACAAUGAAAAAAUGAAGAAAAUAGCACAUGAAGAGAAACAAGAUGUUUCUCCUGGUAUGGUUAGAAAGGAUUCUAUUCACAAAACAUCAAUUGGUUGUUUCUCCUUUUUUCCCAAACAUCAGCAUAGGAAUAUUUCUCGGAUAUCAGAUUCCAACGACUCAUGACUUCAAAUUGUGUUACAUAAUUAAUUCUUCAUUUCUUUUUUUUUUUUUUUAAUCUCCAAUAGAUGCUGAUUAAUUCAUCUUGUUGGUUAGAAAAUUAUAUUAUUUGCAAGUGAACAUGUAAUGAACUGUUCUAUAAAGUAUCAAAUUGUAAGUUUGUUUAUCCAAUGAAUUAAUAUUAUCAUUUUGGACGUCUAAGCUCUUUCUCAACUUAGUCUUUUUGUGCCACUCUUCUGGUUAGUUUAUGUUUGUUUUCAAGAGAAACUCACACUUGUAAGAUGAGUGAUUAAAUCUGGCAUCGUCUCUCAAUGAAUAAAAUAUUGGAUAUAUAAGAGAGUUGAUGAACUUCUAUAUAUGUUCAUUUAUAUAUUUACUUUAUUUUAACUAUAAGACUAUCAUUUGAUUCGGUUGUAGAAUUUUCAGAUUAAAAAUAUAUUAUUUGAUAUCCUUGAUUUUGAUAGGAUAUUGAUAACUUGUAAAAAGUUAAUUUAAAAUUUAAAUUCAUUUUGAAUUAAUAUUAGUUAAAUAAAAAGAUGGACAAAAGGGUAUAAAAUGAUUGAAUUAAUGAUGAGUAAUUCUUAUUCUUUGAUUAUGUAUUUUGUCAAUAUCAGUAACUAAAAUACUUUAAAUUAAGGUUGAAUGAUGAACCUCUAUAUAAUUGUUUGAACUAUGAAAUCUAUGAUGUCUUCUUUUAAAACAAUUUGAAUUAUGUUGUUGAGUAUAUUUUAUGCUAAAGGAUUUUCAACGCCGGAUCAACUUUGAACUAUGUAAUCUAUUACAUAAUACUUAUCAAAUAUUAUCGUAGUCCCGUUAGCAUUACUCAAUUGGCAGAGAUGUUGCAGUAUGCGGUUGUCGGAAUUCAAAUUUUAAAUUUCUUACUUAUUCAUCUUAAUUGAUGAAUUUUUACCCACUAUAUUAUUUUUAAAAAAAAAAGUUUUGAAUUAAAUAUAUCCAAUAAUUUCAAAAUAUUGUAUUAGUUUUCAAACAUUCCGAGUAAAAAUCUACCUAACCAUAUAUCGAAUUUCACUUUUUUUUUUGGGUCAAGGAAAAGUUCACUUUUUUAGUCAACACAAUACGAUAAAAAGAUUGGCAAUGUAAUGAUGAUGAAAAAGAAAUGGUAUUUCACGGAAGCUUCACAAUUUUGCUUGGUCACCAAGAUUGAUAUGUCUACUAGCUAUCAAACAAAAAACAUCACUAUUGAUAAUUUAUUGCGUAUGACAAUAAAAUGCAAACAUGUCUAUAUAUACAAAUGAACAAAUCAACUACAUAACUGACCCAAAAAAAAAAGUCACACUAUUGUAUUGUUGAAGAGUGAAGAGGACGUAUAAGAUGGCAGUGGGAGUUGAUGUUGCAGAAGCAUGUGUGUUAAGAAAGAUGUGUAAAGAAAAAAUGAAGGAAGGAGAAGAAGCAAAGGGACCCAAGAAUAGCAUGAUUGAAGCAAAGACCCAAAGAUCAAGUGGAUGUUUGUUUUGGUUUUCUAAGAAGCUAGGAAGAAUUACACGAAUUAGAGACAUCAAUGAGACCGAGCGGAAAAAGAAGGUAUUGAUUAGAUAAUUUUGUCCUUACAUAUAUUAUGCAGUGUUUUUACCAACUGAAUUAAACUCACAGAGAUGUAUUAUAUUAUAUAGUGAUUAAUUCAAUAUGUAUUGAUUUGUCAAAUGAAAUAAAAUAUUCAAUAUAUAUUAUAUUGUUGUAUGUUUUGAUGUUAUUUGUGUUCGUCUUCACCACAUGGGCGAAAUCGUGAACAAUUAUUUGCAUGAUUUGUUUGUUUAAUCUGAAGCUCCCACAACAUACUCACAAUCUCAAAAUAACUCAUACCUCCGACGUAGACGACUAUUAGACUAUUAUUCAUGUUCAUCAUUCAUCAAAAAAUAUAUAUCAAUGAGAAAUUCAUAUAAAUCUAUGUAUGCAUCACUCCCAGUUUAGAAUGCAAUGCCUACAAGCAUAAAUGAUUAUGGAAUUUUCCAAUUCAAUUAGCAACGAGUUGUGGGUUCUACAACAGUGUGACACCACAACGUGGGGCUAAGUUAAAGUGGGUCCUACAAUAGAGUGACAUCACAUUAUAAGUGUUAACAUAGAAUUUUCCAUAUCUGCACAACUUAAUUACUCUUGCAGUGUUAUGUAUAUCUAUUAGUGGAUGUCGAUCUAUUAUCCUUCCACAUGAUUGUAACUUCCACGAGUAAGUGGAUUGUAAAGUGUCUAUUCUUUCACCUAUUUGUAUCUUAUAAAUAUGACCUAUAAUGCAAAGUAAAGGUACACUUGUGAAGCAAUGCAAUAUACUCUUUUAUUCUCACUUUAUCCUUUUCUCUCUACUUUUAUAUGUUGUACAAUAUCAUGCAAUACUUUAGAUUAAUUUCAUAACACGUUAUCAGCACGGAGCUCUAAACAAUCCAAGGUAAAAUUAAUUCCUAUUUUUUUGGUAUUGCUUGCUGCGUUAUUCUAUCACUACUGUUAAUAAUAUCCGGUCGUGUAUGUUCAUUAGCAUGUUUUUGAUAAUGACUAUUAUAAUAAUAUCAAUAAAAAUAUUGAUGCAUGCAUGGUGAACUUCUUGUUUUCUUACGGAACUAUGUUUUUGGUGGUUUCUUAAUUGAGCAAAUAGUCACUUUGUUUUCUGACUCUGCACCUCGCUGUCACAUAGGUCCCUGACUCGGAUUAAAUACAAAUAAGUCUCUGAUUCUGCACUUCUGUUAUCACUUUAAUCUCUGACGUUAAAAAAUUUUGUUAAGUGAUGAUGUGGCGCAUAUGAGGUGUCACAGGGACCAAAGUGAAAGUAGAAAAUGGUCACUUUGGUCUCUGAACCAAAAAUCAAUAUUCCCAAAUUGAAUAUCAAAUUCCUAAAUCCUUAAAUCUCAAAUCCAUAAAUGUCAUCUAAUUCUCUCUUUUGUUCAAAAUUAAUCUUCCAUUAAACAAAUCUUAUUGUUAGGUCCCUAACUGUGCAUACUUACUAUCAGUUAGAUCCCUGACAAUGAAUUAGCAAAUCCAUUAGCAUCUAUUACUCUUGAUUAUUGUUAUAUUCACAUGAUAAUUCAUAUCAUUACCGCAUAGGUCUGAGCAUACAAUAAUCAAGAGCUCAAGAUAUGUUCAAAUGAUAAUUCAUUUCUAUUGAAUUUCUUUUAACAUAAUUUCUAACUCAAAAUUUGUUCUACUUAGUAGGUACUAGUGCUACAUCUAACAUAAGUUGUUUAUGUUUCCAAGUUUAUUAUCAAAUUUCUCACUUUAAUUUUUUCUUUCAUGAGAAGUUAAAGCAACUAAAGCAUAAGUUCUUUCAGAUUUUUUUUUUCAAGAAAUUUUGGUUUUUUAAUGGCCUAUAAAGGGUGUUUUUAGAAAAAUAAAAUUUUUACGAGGGUGCAAAUCAAACCGAAAAUUUUAUAGGGGCGAAAACCGGAAAUGACAUAUAUUACAGGGGUGAAAAGCACUAUUAACCCGUCUAGAUUUAAUACAAUUCACAAUGGGAUCCUAGAAACACAAUCUCCGAGGAUUACCACCAAUAGGCAGGCCCAAGUACAAGAAAUGAACCUUUCCCACUUUACAAUUCAGCACGGAUGCAGCCUCAUUCAACCAGGAAAGGGCGAUGUUAAGAGCCUCAAAAAUAAUAAGAGUUGCCCUUAAAGCACAGACAUUGCCCUAGCUUAUAGUUCAAUCAACAAAGUAUCAUCUGCAAAUUGAAGAUGAGACACACCAAACUAUUUGACCUCCCCAAUACUGUAAUCAGUGAAUAACUGAGUCCCAACCAACGAUUCAAUCAGGAUAUUAAGUCCUUCUGCCACCAACAAAAACAAGAAAGGAGACAGCGGGUCACAUUGCCUUAACCCUCUCUUAAGCGGGAAAUCGUCAGUGGGGCUGCCAUUCACUAAAACAAACGUUGUGGCUGUACUGACCCACUUUCUAAUCCACUCUCUCCAAAGCACAGGAAAAGACAUACGGCCCAAAACAGAGUCCAAAUACCCCCAAUCUACCGAGUCAUAUGCCUUUUCAAAAUCCACUUUGAACAAACAUAAGGUUUUUUUUGUUUUUUACGAGCCUCAUCAACAACUUCAUUAUCUAUCAAAAUCCCAUCCAGAAUUUGUCUAUUUUUUACAAAAGUUGACUGAGAGUCCGAAAUAACAUAAAAAAUAACCCAACACAAUCUAUUAUGGGAGCUAUCGACUUUAGGAAUUAGAGUAGUAAAAGUAGCGUUGAUACCUUUGGUCAAUUUACCAUUGUGGUGAAACCCGGACUUUUGAAUCUGUCACAAUCCCAAAUAGCUUCCUUAACUUCAUCCAAUGAAAAAGGUUUAAUUAAACUCAUACCCUUUGCCACAGACAAGGAACAAAACUGCAUAUUUGAGACAAUGGGUCGGUCCACAUUUAAUGACUGAAAAUGCCCCGCAAAAUGCGAGAAAACAACAUUACGGAUAGGGUGCACACCCUCCACCAUCACACCGUCAACCAAAAUAGAACACAAUGCAUUAUGGCGCCUCCUCCGAGAGCACAACUGACAGUAGACCACACCUCCACCUCAGAAGUAUCCCACACCGACAACAACCCCCCGGAUGCCCCUUGAGAAGGACGAAAGGAAAAAGAAACCGGAUGGUUACCCCACAAUGAAGCACAAAAAGCAUCGUCACACACUUGCAGCUUUGUUUCUUGUAAACACAAAAUAAAUGGAUUUUUUUCUGUUACUAAAGAACGAACCUCCUUCCUCUUUUCAAUGCCAUCUAACCCCCGCACAUUCCAAGAAAUCAACCUCGUCUCCAACACCCUCACCCCCCACCCCCCACCCCCCCCCCCCCCCCCCACACAAACCACCUCCGACACCUAACAACCACCGCCUAGCCGUACCCCUUCCCUCCCCAUCCUCCUGACAGCGUGCCUCACCCCUCCCUCUCCCUCUCUCAUUCCUCGCUAACACCCCAAACAUAUUAUGAGUAUCCCCUUGAAAGGAACCCCAAUUGCCUUACCAAUGUCCUACACAUCCUCCACUGCCACCUUCUUAUUCCCAUGCAAAACCACCCAAUGAGACCAAUCAUUAUUCACCGAGGCUGAUGAAGAAGUGCCAUCAGAUGCAUUUUGUGACACCACAUCCACCGUCUUCUUAAGCCUAUCUGAACCUUGUCGCUUCCUGACUUUUUUCUUUAGAAUUUUCAAAACAAAUGAAUGAUCUUUACAUGGUAACCUUGCCACUGUUUUUAGACUAUGCAUAGAAUGACGUAAGACUCCAUCCAUUUUCUUACGCUUCUUGACAAUGGUACCAACCUAAAUAGUUGAAUCCCUAGGUCGCACCACCUUCUUUCUAAAGGAUGAGAUAACACCAUCAUCACCAUGGUGUUGAUCACUUAACCACUCAAGGCUCCACGCUCCCGAUUCUAAAGAACGAGCAGCCAGGGGUGGACAAGACGACCUACGGACUCUCCGGCCAUUUUUCUUAGGACCCGAAGCCACACUAUCAGCUGAAACAGAAACCUUGUCUUUUAGCAAGUUAUAACUAAAAAGUGGAUAAUUACACCUUAAGGUGUGAGUUGCUAAAAGACACCUUCAUAAAAAUUAAUGUGUAUCAAGUGAGAGGAGUAUUUAUGGUGAGAGAUGAGAGGAACAAAUAUUGACCAUUAGAUUAAAUUGAAUGGAUCAGAUUAAGUUGUUCACACUUUCAUUUGUUGUAGACUAGCAACAUCUUCAUCCCUGCAACCCUGCGCCUUCGUUUUCUCCCUCAGGAACAAUUUUGAUUUUGUCAAUUACAGACUCAUAAUUCUUCAAAUCCAAUCCGACUAAAAAUAACUUAGAACUAGAAAGCCUUGGAUUUUUAAUAGAGUAAAACAACAACAAUGAAUGAACAUAGUAAUUUUAUGGUCUUCUUUGUCAAAUUUUCACGCUUCCGUCUUUAUUGAAAUUAACUUAGAAAAAAGAAGUUAUGUGGUGUCUAUUUAUGAUUUAUGAAACUAGUAUUAAUAACUCCAUUAAUGAUCUUACGACAACAUAUGUUACAAUUUAACCUAGUUAAAUUGCGUCGUUCGCCAAAGAAGAGAGUAUAAAACCCUAGAUUUCCACUUAAAUUUCAUUAACAUAAUUGAGAAAUAAGUAAUUGGUACUAUUAGGAACGGGUAAAGAAUUUUGGAUUAUCAAUCCUAAUUUUCAAAUACGAAUCAAUUUUUAAGAUUACUGAUGCAGAUUCUCAGUUGAAAAAGCAUUAGGAAAAGAGAAGUACAAAUUUAAAUCUGACACAAGAAAAUCACAAAUGAAUGAAAACUUUAAUAACAUAAUCCAAUAAAUAAAAAGAAGUUCAUCUAUAUCCCUAAUCAAAGAGGUUUAGUUACUCAUUGCAACAAACAUCAUAACAAAACAAUAGAAAAACAUAUCUUAGAGAGAACAAGAGGAGGAUGAAGACCCUCUUCCUUGGAGCUCUGAUGUUUAACCCUUGCCUUGAACCACUAGCUUUAUAAAUGAAUAAUAAUAUGUUCAAGGGUGUCUAUUGAUAGCAUAUGCUUACUUAGGGUUUAAGAGAAGAAAAGUGGGCCUUUUCCACCGUUUCAUCUUGAAAAACAAGCUACGGGCAAUUUCUACCCGCAGCUGUACGUAUAUGCACAUGACAGGGGCAGAUGAAGUGCAUGGGGCAGUGGUAAAACUGUCUCAUGCACAAGUGGCACAUGGCCUAUGCGUAGGAGGCGUAUGAGGUAGACCCUGUGUGCGAAAUCUUGCAUUCUCGUCCCGUUUUUUUAUUGUUCUUCCGUCUGGAAACUCCUAGGAACUUGAAUGAAUUUUCUUCACUUUGCAUUAUCUACAAAAACCUUCUAAUAUCCAUUGAUAUUCAAUCUUCAUAUCCUUGAUCGUUCAUGUGAUGUCUUAAUUUUUCGAUUUACAUGAUUUCUCACUAUAAAACACUCAAAACACAUAUGAAGUUGCAUCAUUUAGGAUAAAAAUGAAAUACAACAACUCCAGUGAAAACAAUACAAUAUGUUCCUCAAACCAUUGAGAAAUCCUCUAACUCUCAUCUUAUUUGUCUUCAAAUGCAAAUAAAAGUACUAAAAACAUAGCCAAAAAUAAUAUAUGAUGCUCUGUCAUCAGUUGUACUUUGGCAUUUGUUUUCUUUGAUUCGCUUCAUCUAGUUGAUGUACCAUUGUUUAUGUCCUGCAAAAUGGUUGCAUUGGACAAUUUUGUCUAGUUUUUAAAUUGAUUUUGUCAGUUAUGAGGGAUCUUCCCCUCGUUAUAGAUAGUGGUUUCUUUUUAUUGUUAUUUCGUCGUAUUUUCUUUCUCCAUUAUCGCCUUUUAUGUCUCGCAUAGAGGUUUCCUUAUUCUUGAAAACUCUUUUCCUCAAGUUGAAAAUUUCAUUACUCCUUACAGAUAUUCACUUUUGGGAGUUUCUUUAUUCCACGAAGCUUUUUUUGAGUGACGUUGAACAUAUGUUUACAUUCAGUGGUAAACAUAGUCCUUCGUCAUCUACCCAUAUUACGUUUAUUUUAUCCUUGUAACAACUUUAUUUAUUAGGUUAUACAUCACUCUAAUUUGUUACCCGUAAAAAACACUCUUCCAACCCUGCUGCUACAUUGUUUCCGCGAACUGCUACUUCAAACAUCCUCUAACGUGAAGUGUGAGUAAUCUAUUAUUCAAUCGUCUACAUCGUGUUGAUAUCGAUUACAUCGUUAUUGUUUCUUUACUCUAUUAUCCUUAUUUAAUUUAACCAAGUUUAAGCGUAAAACAAUAAAUUAAUUUUAAAAUUUCUCCUCUCCCCUUGUGAACCAACACAUUUUUAAUUAAAAUCUCUCUCAUCCCGUCCUCUCCCCUCUUUUGAACAAACAUAUAUUUAAUUAAAUUAUCUACCCUCCCUUUCCCUCCCCUCCAUUAAAACCCCUCCCCUCCCAUUUGUUGAACCAAAAGGACCCUUAAUAUAAUAUUAGAGUGUUUAGAUAACGAAAUAAUUCAAGAUAAGGCAGAAAUAAAGUGUUAUCGUUGUGCUAUAAUUUAUGGUCCUUUUGACAUAAUUUUGUGCAUAUAAUCAUCAUUUCAUCAUUGGAAAUAUUAUGCGAUGAUCUAUGACAAUCGUGGAACCAUCAGAAGAGCACUAAAAGCAUAAUUCGAAAAUACUCGCAUAUCGUGCCACAAAUUUCAGCAGUGUGACACGAUUUAUCUAUUAAGACACUAGACACGUAAGAUUAAUUUCUCAUAACAUGGCACGAUUUUGCAGUUACAUAACCAGGUCAAUAAAUAGACCUUUGAGCUAAAGAAUAUUCAAUAUUCACUUUUGAGAAACCCUUACCGCGCAAGCUUCUGAUCUAAAAUCAGUCUCUCUCAAAAAUUUUGUUUGGUCAUAGCUAACAUAGUUGAUAGUAGAGGAAUUCUUCUUAUGUGGACUCAGUAAAGGCAUUAUUUUUCGUGCAGCACUCGUGAUCAAACUUUGUUCCUACCAUCAAAGGUUUUGCGCUACAAGAGGUAAUCACUCAAUCACGGAUUCAUGAUCAUUUGUAAUGAUCCAUUGAAAGUAAAAUUUGGUUUAUAUUGCAAUUAUGUAUGUUCAUAAUUUCCCUUCAAGAAAUUCGUCCCACUUUAGAAAUUGAGAAAAUUAAUAUGUAUUGUAGAGAAAUCACUUCGGUAAUAUCAGAAAUACUCUCUUCUUUCCUAAUUAUAAGCAAAUUUAACUUUUUAGGUUCAUCAAUUAAUGAUGUAUGUGGUCCUUAAUAUAAAUCAUAUGCAUCAUUAAUAGAAUGAAUCUAAAAAGUUAAAUUUGCUUAUAAUUAAGAACGGAGUGAGUAUGACUUUGAGAGUAUAAUUUUGUAAAAAGAAAUAUUGAUACUCUAUUUUAAAAUUGCUCUAAUAUUUACUAAAUUUUGUAUAUUCUUAUUUAUAAAUAUUUGAGGUUUAGGGCGUCACACUAACUUCUCAAGUUCAUCAAAAUGAAUAUGUUGUAUCUACACACCAAAAUAAAUUUAAUGAAUAUUUAAUUGUAUUUUUCAUGGAAAUAAGCCUAUAGUCAUCAAAAUUAAUGAGAUUAUAGUUUCACGUCUCUUUAGUUUUAACAAAACAUGACCCAUUAAUUUUAAUUGUUAGAACCGAAGAGACGUGGAUCUAUAAUCCCAUUUAUUUGGAUGAUAAUGCGCUUAUUUCAAUGAAAAAUACCAUUAAAUAUUCGUUAAAUUUCUUUCGGUGUGUAGAUAGAGCAUAUUCAUUUUGAUGAACUGGAGAAGUUAGUAGUACACCCUAAACCUCAAAUGAUAUGAUUCCUACUUAAAAAAUGAUAACAUCUCUUGAAUCAUACUUAAAGUAUGGCCAAUGGAGAGAUUCAAAGAUCAUAAGCAAAUCCUAAUAACUAGUAAAUAAUUCAAUGGCAACAAUUUAAUUGAGUUUUGAAAAUUCCUAAAAAAAUUGAUUUUGAUGAGUUACACUUACAUAGGAAGGAUAAAGUACAAGUCUUGUAAAAAUCGUGAGAAACUGAAAAGCAAAACAUAAGAAAUUUGUGUAUAAAAAUAUGCAUAUCCCUUAUUUUAAUCAAAUUAUAAAUGUGUAGUUUUCUAUGGUAAAAUCAUCUCUACUUAAAACAUAUUUCCAUAAUAUUUAUGAAUUAUUUGGAGUAAAUUCUAAUAAUUUUUUUUUUUUGGUUAAAUUCUAAUCAUUAUGAAUCAUAAACAGAUGUGAAUGAGCAUGUGGGAUAAAUCAUCAAAUUCCAAAAUUUCAUAUGCAUUAACUUGUACAACGUUUCUUUUUCAUUUUUGUAAUAUUUUUUCCUUUUCUUUCAUGAAAGGUUAAAACAAUAAUAAAAAGUUAGUAAACAAGUUUAUGAUUAACAAGUUUUUAUGUAACCUCCUUACUAAAAACUAAAAUUGUUUAAUUGAUGUAAAGACAUCAUGAGCUUUAUAUAUUAUAAAGUGAUCAAAUCAUUUUCUAUUUGUUAGGGAGCAAAAUAUGGGUGAAAUUAUAAAAUUUGUUUACUCUAGAAUCAUUUUUCUUUCACUAUUUCUUUUGGCAACCGAUACCCAAGGUGAGACAAUUUUCCAUCCUUUUACAAUACGCUUCUCUAAUUUGUAAUUAACAUUUUAUCUCCUUUUAUUAACAUUCUUAUUUUUUUACAUGGCAGCACUUAUUGAAUGUUAUACUUACUUUGAUUGUCCUAAAGAUAUGUGUAUUUUUCCUUCUAUUGUGGUGUGUGUUAGAAAUCAAUGUGACUGUGUUGAAAUGUUUUAGACUAAGCAGAUUGGGCGGUGAAGAAUGAGGUUUUGCAUUAGAAAAAGAUCUAAGAAAAUUAGAAUAUUUCAUGAGUUGUCAAUUAGUUAUUGUGUAAUGAUUGGAUUUUUUUUAUAUCCUUUCUUAUUUUUUUAAAUGAUUCAUAGGAGAAGGUGGAGAUGAACUUCAUAGGAGAAGUAUGAUUGAUAGGUAGAAACAUAGGGAAAACCAUUAGAAUUCAUCAUAUUUAAUUGUAUUGAAAAUGAUUCAGUAAUGAGUACAUGGAUGGUUUUAGAAUGUCAAAAACUUUAGUUACCGUUAUAGCAUUCUAAAAAUAAUCUUUAGUUUUAGUAGAAGGUUUUAGAAUGUCAAAAACUUGAAGCUGACAAUUGGCCUUAUCACAUUGCAGAUGCAAUAGAAUCAAAGUUCAUACUUUUCCAGAUAUCAAGUUAGAGGAUUAGAGAAAAGUGGGAAAAAAACCUCAUUACAAAGAAAAUUAAGUGCAUUGAAUAAUAUAAGAAGUUAACUAUUUUUCAUAUGUUGAAGGUUAAGAAGCUUAUAAGUUUAUGAACCUAAAAUUCUAGGCCUUAAACAAUUUAAGAGAGUAAAAAAUUUGAGCCCUUAGGCUUUGUUUGGGAGUUUGGAGGGGAAGGGAGGGGAGGACUUUGGCGGGUUGAAAAUAUAUAGAAAAAUGGACAAAAAAUUCACAUUUUUUGAAAGAACAGUUUUUUAGAGAAUGAUAAGCUAAUACUUAUGAUUAAUAUACUUUUAAUUUU
RNAcentral lists this long non-coding RNA (11258 nucleotides) under Medicago truncatula (barrel medic). Its description in RNAcentral is "long non-coding RNA (MTRU_LNC003343)". The record is from RNAcentral. Lineage: Eukaryota; Viridiplantae; Streptophyta; Magnoliopsida; Fabales; Fabaceae.